Molecule: ribosomal RNA, 1039 nt
Filed under: Frischella perrara
Lineage: Bacteria; Pseudomonadati; Pseudomonadota; Gammaproteobacteria; Orbales; Orbaceae
Description: bacterial SSU rRNA
Rfam family: Bacterial small subunit ribosomal RNA
Source: RNAcentral
GUAUGAAGAAGGCCUUAGGGUUGUAAAGUACUUUCGGUGAUGAGGAAGUUAUGUGUGGGAUAAGCACAUAUAAUUGACGUUAGUUACAGAAGAAGCACCGGCUAACUCCGUGCCAGCAGCCGCGGUAAUACGGAGGGUGCGAGCGUUAAUCGGAAUGACUGGGCGUAAAGGGCAUGUAGGCGGAUGAUUAAGUUAGGUGUGAAAGCCUCGGGCUCAACCUGAGAAUAGCAUUUAAAACUGGUGAUCUGGAGUACUGUAGAGGGAGGUAGAAUUCCACGUGUAGCGGUGAAAUGCGUAGAGAUGUGGAGGAAUACCGGUGGCGAAGGCGGCCUUCUGGACAGAUACUGACGCUGAGAUGCGAAAGCGUGGGGAGCAAACAGGAUUAGAUACCCUGGUAGUCCACGCUGUAAACGAUGUCGAUUUGGAGUUUGUUGCCUAGAGUGAUGGGCUCCGAAGCUAACGCGAUAAAUCGACCGCCUGGGGAGUACGGCCGCAAGGUUAAAACUCAAAUGAAUUGACGGGGGCCCGCACAAGCGGUGGAGCAUGUGGUUUAAUUCGAUGCAACGCGAAGAACCUUACCUGGUCUUGACAUCCACAGAAUCUUUCAGAGAUGAGGGAGUGCCUUCGGGAACUGUGAGACAGGUGCUGCAUGGCUGUCGUCAGCUCGUGUUGUGAAAUGUUGGGUUAAGUCCCGCAACGAGCGCAACCCUUAUCCUUUGUUGCCAGCGAUUAGGUCGGGAACUCAAAGGAGACUGCCGUUGAUAAAACGGAGGAAGGUGGGGACGACGUCAAGUCAUCAUGGCCCUUACGACCAGGGCUACACACGUGCUACAAUGGCGUAUACAAAGGGAAGCGAAGGUGCGAGCUGGAGCGGACCUCCUAAAGUACGUCUAAGUCCGGAUUGGAGUCUGCAACUCGACUCCAUGAAGUCGGAAUCGCUAGUAAUCGUGAAUCAGAAUGUCACGGUGAAUACGUUCCCGGGCCUUGUACACACCGCCCGUCACACCAUGGGAGUGGGUUGCACCAGAAGUAGAUAGCU